RNAcentral lists this ribosomal RNA (468 nucleotides) under uncultured bacterium. Its description in RNAcentral is "partial 16S ribosomal RNA". It matches the Rfam family "Bacterial small subunit ribosomal RNA", at positions 28 to 507 of the family's 1533-position model. The record is from RNAcentral.
GACGAACGCUGGCGGCGUGCUUAACACAUGCAAGUCGAACGGAAAGGCCCUGCUUUUGUGGGGUGCUCGAGUGGCGAACGCGUGCGUAACACGUGAGUAACCUGCCCUUGACUUUGGUAUAACUUCAGGAAACUGGGGCUAAUACCGGAUAGGAGCUCCUGCUGCAUUGUGGGGGUUGGAAAGUUUCGGCUGUUGGGGAUGGACUCGCGGCUUAUCAGCUUGUUGGUGGGGUAGUGGCUUACCAAGGCUUUGACGGGUAGCCGGCCUGAGAGGGUGACCGGCCACAAGAGGACUGAGAGACGGACCAGACUCGUACGGGAGGCAGCAGGGGGGAAUAUUGCACAAUGGGAGGAAGCCUGAGGAAGAAACGCCGCGUGCGGGAUGACGGUCUGCGGGUUGAAAACAGCUGUAGCCUGUGACGAAGCGGGAGUGACGGUAAUGGGUAAAGAAGCACCGGCUAACUACGUG